Molecule: long non-coding RNA, 430 nt
Organism: Suricata suricatta (meerkat)
Lineage: Eukaryota; Metazoa; Chordata; Mammalia; Carnivora; Herpestidae
Exons: 2
Source: RefSeq, a predicted model, not a curated record
UGAAGAUCCUUAUUCUUAAUAUUCCAUAUUGGCAUCAGAAAAAGGAAAAAAGUCAAAAGUUAGUGAUGAGGUGCCAAAAGCUCUACGUCUUAACCCCUUACUUUCAUCAGAAUGCUGUCCUAGCAUAAAGUGACAUCAUCAGAAGUCUUGAAAAACACCGCGGUGUGGCAUUGCAUAUAAAGUGAGGCUCAGAAAACUAACAUUUUGGAUCCAGUAAUGCUGCUCGAAAUCACCCUUUGAUGAGAAUAAUUGGAAAGGAACAGACAUGGCAAAACCCAAUUAAUUUGCAACUUUGGUUUCUCUGAUUAUGUCAGUGACAUGAGCAAUUUUUGACAUGUUUUGUUCAGAAGAUUUUGUUUCUAAAUGGUAAACAUAUGAUUUUUAAAUUUUUUAAGAAAAAAUACAACUAAUAAACACUGAAUAUAUGGAA